This 238-nucleotide ribosomal RNA is filed under the name uncultured bacterium. Its description in RNAcentral is "partial 16S ribosomal RNA". It matches the Rfam family "Bacterial small subunit ribosomal RNA", at positions 796 to 1041 of the family's 1533-position model. The record is from RNAcentral.
CACGCCGUAAACGAUGGAUACUAGCUGUUGGGCGCAAGUUCAGUGGCUAAGCGAAAGUGAUAAGUAUCCCACCUGGGGAGUACGUUCGCAAGAAUGAAACUCAAAGGAAUUGACGGGGGCCCGCACAAGCGGUGGAGCAUGUGGUUUAAUUCGAUGAUACGCGAGGAACCUUACCAAGGCUUAAAUGUAGAUUGACCGGUUUGGAAACAGAUCUUUCGCAAGACAAUUUACAAGGUGC